Long non-coding RNA from Daphnia pulex (common water flea), 879 nucleotides. RefSeq lists it as uncharacterized. The transcript is spliced from 2 exons. NCBI's taxonomy places the organism in Eukaryota, Metazoa, Arthropoda, Branchiopoda, Diplostraca, Daphniidae. The record is from RefSeq and is a predicted model, not a curated record.
AAUGAUAUUUUCAGUAAUUACCGGUAUCCAGGAGUAUUUGCCCGGUAGGGAAAGCCGAUGUUGAAUGGGCAACAAAUCGGGGCGCUGACGUGUGUCACGGAAUAAUAAUCCUUUCUGUAUGUCAGGUCGAGCCAUGGUUGACAAUCGAACGAGAGACACUCCGAUAACGGGGAAUGACGGAUAAUUUCAACUCAAACUCAAGAAUAGCCGAUCAACAACACACGUGGGUUCCGGAAACCGAAACUUUUAAACGCGCAUUUCCGACACGCAAAGGGGGAUGUUGUACAAGAAAGAGAGAGAGCUAGGCACGAUGUGACGUCGUUGCAGCUGGACGAGCGACUGGCCAGUGGUAGACUAUCGACGCUUGGUCACAUGGGCGCCGCCAGCGAUCGGUAUGGAACCCAGCAUUGGAGGGGUGGAUGGAGACUAUAUACGAGGUACAACCGUGAGACCUACUGAACGACUCGCCCACCGCCGACCCCACAACUCAUUCACAAGGUGGCCGACGUCAAGAAUUAAAUAUUGCGAUGGAGUAUCGCACUUGGCCCUGAUAUUCCCAACAUAAAAUAUGCCGAGUUGAUGACAACGCAGACAACGGCCUGUUUAACCGACUUCUCAUUUUCAAUCGCGAUAAUAAACCUGGAAUAUGUUUGCAGACUAACAAUCAAUCAGCUCAGUGUUGGACUCCUUUUUUUUUACUGCUGGAAUUUAUCCGGAAUAAUUUCCAAUUUCCUUGUCAUUUCCUUACUGUACCUGGGUACACGGUGAACUUUUAUCCUAUUGUUCCGCUCCCCCCGCAACCCCUCACUUUUCUUUCAUAAUAGACCACGACAUCCUCUCAUAUAUAAAUAUUUGAAUACAAUACUAAAUAGCACUCUA